GCGGACGCGGGACGCGUACCGAGGUCACCGUUCCUCGCCCCGUGCGUCCCCAGAAAAGCAGUGGCCCGCGCGCUCCAGCCCGGCGGAAACAAGCGCCAGGCGGCUGCGCUCAGGAGAAGCCACUGGAGACUGGAGAAAAGCCCCUGGGGGUGGGAGGAGCCGCGGGGGCUUUCCGAGCGCGGCGCGGGCGGCUGCGGGUGGGGUAGAGGCUCCGCGGCGCGGGCGGGGCGCGUCCCUGGCGAGAGUUCAGAGCGAACCCGGGCCUCGCCGGACCGCGGGGACCGUAACCCAGCGGCUUUGCCCGGAGACAAGAAAGGCUCGCGCGGGAGAAUCAGAAGCAGUAACUACAGCCAGCGUCUGGGGCGACGAGCGGCCCCGCCCCUCCCUCUACCGGUCCCCGGGGGACAGGGGCGGAGGUGGGGUCAGGGGACGCUGAGGGCCGAGCCCGCUUCCAACUUGGAAAACCACCAGCCCCUGGGACUCGCCCCCGGCGAGGGCUCCAGGCCCCGGGGCCGGAGUGGGGGCAUUUUUCUCUCCCCCCUGCCCAAGCUCAGAGCCCGUUUCGUCACCUUCGGGGAGCCCAGACUCCGGGACCAACUCUGCCCGGGCCGUGGCCGCUUAAGGCCGGGGAAUCCCCGGACGCACCGCUCGCGGAGUUCGGGUGCACGAGCGAAAGAAGCCGUUCCCUGAGGUCCCGGGCCGGUGGGGAGAACGGUGCCCAGCCGGUGCUGCCCCUCUGAACCGUGGGCGAGCCUCAACCCGGAGGGAUGGAGGGCUUGGCAGAGACCGCAAGUCGCGCAGAACCGGGGCCAGCCACGGCUUGCCGAUGGGUCGGAAAAGAGCAAUCCUGGGGAUUAGGGAGGCGUUAGGAACUUGGGGGGAGCAUCUAGGUGGAAAGGAUCUGCAACCGAACCGAGCCAUGAGGGACCCCACCCUCCCCGCCUCUGGGCAAUGUCACGUGGUGGGUGGGAUCUACAGAGUCGUGGCCGAUCGACCCUGGAAACCAGUGACGGGGCCCUAAAGAACUGAGAGAAGGGCCGCAGGCCAGGGCGGUCGACCAGGGGUCCAGACCUUACCCCCCCAGGCCGAGCCUGACCUCUCAGUGUCUGGGUGCGGGUUGAGGAGGAAGAGCAUGGGAGGUUUGCCAGAGAGCCCCUCGCUUUGGUGAGGUAGAUGCGUCGUGACUCGUCUCCUAGUGGAAGAGUCGGUGCGUGUAGGCGCCUGGUGAGGACCUCCCGAGCCCCGGGUCAUGGCCCUGUCUGACAAGCAGUGCCGUGGGUCACGGGACCGACCCGGAGACCACAUCUCUACUCCGCCCACCCACCUCCUUUCCUUCCUUCUUUUGCGCCUAUCUUCGUGGGCCCACCAGGUGCCAACUCGUGGGAGACCUUCGUCCAAAGAGGAACGACACUGUGCGGAUGCAACCACCGGAGACGAGGCGUGGGGACCCCAGGCGCAGCAGGGCAAGCCGAGGGGCACCGGUGGGCAACUUGGUCCAAAAUCCCCGGUUAGCGGUAUGGGCCCCAGAGAGACUCUGAAGCCCUUGAACCCCUACUGCCACACUGCGCUGGGCCCAACACACUGUUGUGGUCACCCAGUGUCUUCCAGAGUCGCCAGAUGAACAGGAAUGACCUGUGCCCCAGAACCUGGCCGGGAAGGGUGGUGGGACCCAAGCAGCGAUUUCUGGUGAAGACGAGUCCGCGCCUGAAUGCACCCGGAGUUGGCAGAGAACCUGGCCUCGCCGGCUUCGCUCUGAACUCGGGGAUUUCUUUCUGAAGCCAAGAACACCCCAGAUAAUGGUUUACUUUUUACCUUUUUCUGUAACUAGCUACAGAUGCAUAAAUUCCCACUGGGAAUUUCCCCUUUCAAGGUCGACAGUUCUUGUGUUAGCCUUUCCAAACGCCUGUUAAAAGCAGUCAGGGGACUUACAAAUUGGACUGCCCCCUCCCGCCUGGGAGGUCAGGUUUGGUUAAAAUAAGAACGCUGAAGGACAGGGCGCCCUGCCCGCAUAUACUUUUGGGGCGCUCUAAAGCAAGUUGGUCCUUAUCACCCAUGCCACUAAGCAAGGGAAUUAAGGCUGUCUUCAGUGUUUACCACUUCCUUCUUUCCUUUCUUAGAAAUAUGAGUCCAAAUAAUACUGGAAUGGUUUUCACUUAAAGAUAAACAAGAGCAGGGGGUAGGUGUGCAGCUCAGGGGUAAAGCGCUUACCUAGCCUGCCAGGGCUCUAGAUUCUGUCCCAGCACUACAGAAGGGUAAAAGGGAAAGAUUAACAAGUCCCCGGCAAAGAACUAGCCCAGAUGGGUCCCCACCCUCACCCCAUCUUUUAAAAAUAAACUCCACAAAGACAAAAUAUUCUCAACCUUUCUGGAAGACAGCUGAAAAACAGGUAUUUUUGUAAAGCCAACAUGUAUAUACUAUGUGUACAAAAC
RNAcentral lists this long non-coding RNA (2429 nucleotides) under Marmota monax (woodchuck). The record is from RNAcentral. Lineage: Eukaryota; Metazoa; Chordata; Mammalia; Rodentia; Sciuridae.